AGAGUUUGAUCAUGGCUCAGAACGAACGCUGGCGGCGUGCUUAACACAUGCAAGUCGAGUGCGCGGUUGUAGCAAUACAACUGGCGCACGGCGCACGGGUGCGUAACACGUGGGCAAUCUGCCCUUCGAUGGGGAAUAACUCCGGGAAACCGAAGCUAAUUCCGCAUAACAUUCCUUGGACCUCGGUUCGAGGACUCAAAGCCGUAAGGCGUCGAAGGAGGAGCCCGCGCACGAUUAGCUAGUUGGUAGGGUAACGGCCUACCAAGGCUUUGAUCGUUAGCUGGUCUGAGAGGAUGGCCAGCCACACUGGAACUGAGACACGGUCCAGACUCCUACGGGAGGCAGCAGUGGGGAAUCUUGCACAAUGGGCGAAAGCCUGAUGCAGCGACGCCGCGUGGGGGAUGAAGCAUUUCGGUGUGUAAACCCCUUUCGACCCGGACGAAUGCCUCGCAAGAGGAGUGACGGUACGGGUAUAAGAAGCCCCGGCUAACUACGUGCCAGCAGCCGCGGUAAGACGUAGGGGGCCAGCGUUGUUCGGAAUUACUGGGUGUAAAGGGUUCGUAGGCGGUGUGGCAAGUUGGGAGUGAAAUCUCUGGGGCUCAACCCAGAGGCUGCUUCCAAAACUGCUGUGCUUGAGUGUGGGAGAGGCGCGUGGAAUUGCAGGUGUAGCGGUGAAAUGCGUAGAUAUCUGCAGGAACACCCGUGGCGAAAGCGGCGCGCUGGACCACAACUGACGCUGAGGAACGAAAGCUAGGGGAGCAAACAGGAUUAGAUACCCUAGUAGUCC
This 787-nucleotide ribosomal RNA is filed under the name uncultured bacterium. RNAcentral's name for it is "bacterial SSU rRNA". It matches the Rfam family "Bacterial small subunit ribosomal RNA", at positions 8 to 796 of the family's 1533-position model. The record is from RNAcentral.